GGCUGGUCUGAAGGUAGUGAGUUAUCUCAAUUGAUUGUUCACAGUCAGUUGCAGAUUGAACUCCUUGUUUUACUCUUUCCGCCCGUCUCACUACUGCACUUGACUAGUCUUAA
Nomascus leucogenys (northern white-cheeked gibbon) is the source of this 113-nucleotide unclassified non-coding RNA. It matches the Rfam family "Y RNA". Rfam says of the family: Y RNAs are components of the Ro ribonucleoprotein particle (Ro RNP), in association with Ro60 and La proteins. The Y RNAs and Ro60 and La proteins are well conserved, but the function of the Ro RNP is not known. In humans the RNA component can be one of four small RNAs -- hY1, hY3, hY4 and hY5. NCBI's taxonomy places the organism in Eukaryota, Metazoa, Chordata, Mammalia, Primates, Hylobatidae. The record is from Ensembl.